CUAAUUUCUUCUACUUAUUAUUAUGCGAUGCUUCCACUAUGAAUUUCAAUCUUUAGUUUCUUCUAACAAACUAGCUAGCUUAUAUCCAAGUCUCUUUUUCAUCUAUUCUUUAAUUUUCUUAGCUAGCAUCAUGAUAUGCUAAUUUAAUUAUUGUUUGCAGGAACAAUAAUAAUAAUAAUAAUAAUCAGAAAUUCAGAAUAGAAGCAGUUUUCUUCAUCUACAAAAGGAUGGUCAUUAUGAGAUUCAUACUUGUUGAGGGACAUUUUCUGAUCAUACUUUAGGUACACUCAUAAUAAGGUUGUGGAGCUUCGAUUUCUACUUUCUACUUCUAUUUCUCGAAGAUGAUGGGGAAACAUUACUUUCAUGAAGGGAAGAAUAUAUAAGAGCUGUAUAGAAUCCUCAUAUCCUAUUAUUGAUUGAUUACAAGAGAUAAUUAAGGAGAGAAGCUAUCAAAUUGUUGCUAUGUAUCAUGAUGAUGUGUGUUUUUACCAAGCAACUUGUAUGUAACAUGUCUAGGAUGGGCAAUACAUACUUAUUACCCAUAGGUAUUUAGGUAUUUAGGGCUUGUUUGAGUGAGCUUCUAAGAAAAUAUCUUUUUUCGAGUUAUCUUUUUUUAAAAGAUCUUAUAGAGAAGUAAAAGUAAUUUUAUGUUUGGAUAUCUCAUGUAAAAAGGUCUUUUUAUCUAUCAAUUA
Arachis stenosperma is the source of this 692-nucleotide long non-coding RNA. RefSeq lists it as uncharacterized. The record is from RefSeq and is a predicted model, not a curated record. The transcript is spliced from 4 exons. Lineage: Eukaryota; Viridiplantae; Streptophyta; Magnoliopsida; Fabales; Fabaceae.